GGGGGGGGCAAGCGUUGUUCGGAAUUACUGGGCGUAAAGGGCUCGUAGGCGGCCAACUAAGUCGGACGUGAAAUCCCCAGGCUCAACCUGGGAACUGCGUCCGAUACUGGAUGGCUUGAAUCCGGGAGAGGGAUGCAGAAUUCCAGGUGUAGCGGUGAAAUGCGUAGAUAUCUGGAGGAAUACCGGUGGCGAAGGCGGCAUCCUGGACCGGCAUUGACGCUGAGGAGCGAAAGCCAGGGGAGCAAACGGGAUUAGAUACCCCGGUAGUCCUGGCCCUAAACGAUGAAUGCUUGGUGUAACGGGUAUCGAUCCCUGUUGUGCCGAAGCUAACGCAUUAAGCAUUCCGCCUGGGGAGUACGGUCGCAAGGCUGAA
RNAcentral lists this ribosomal RNA (373 nucleotides) under uncultured bacterium. Its description in RNAcentral is "bacterial SSU rRNA". It matches the Rfam family "Bacterial small subunit ribosomal RNA", at positions 527 to 898 of the family's 1533-position model. The record is from RNAcentral.